ACGUUAAACUAACUGUAGAGGUCCAAAGUCCUCGGCUGCAAACGCAGAAUAGUGAUGGGCGU
This 62-nucleotide non-coding RNA is filed under the name unclassified sequences. The record is from RNAcentral.